RNAcentral lists this unclassified non-coding RNA (391 nucleotides) under soil metagenome. RNAcentral's name for it is "partial contains 5.8S ribosomal RNA, internal transcribed spacer 2, and large subunit ribosomal RNA". The stretch from base 1 to 122 matches the Rfam family "5.8S ribosomal RNA", at positions 35 to 154 of the family's 154-position model. The record is from RNAcentral.
GAUGAAGAACGCAGUGAAAUGCGAUACUUGGUGUGAAUUGCAGAAUCCAGUGAACCAUCGAGUCUUUGAACGCAAGUUGCGCCCGAAGCCAUUAGGCCGAGGGCACGCCUGCCUGGGCGUCACACGUCGUUGCCCCCCCAUCUACUCCUUCGGGAUUGCGGGGGGCGGAUGAUGGCCUCUCGUGCGCCUCGUCGCGCGGUUGGCCUAAAUGCCAAGUCCUCGGCGACGCACGCCACGACAAUCGGUGGUUGCGAAACCUCGGUUGCCUGUCGUGUGCGGUCGUCGCGCAUCGAGGGCUCGAAAAAAUUGCCGGGCUUCGGCUCGACUUUCAACGCGACCCCAGGUCAGGCGGGGUUACCCGCUGAAUUUAAGCAUAUCAAUAAGCGGAGGA